GCCGUUCUCCCGGUUAAUGGAGAUGUGUCAUUGGGUGAUUCCUAUUUCUUAUGGUAUGAGUAGAUUUUAUAAUUAAAAUUUGGUUUGCAAUAAGAUGAUAAUGAUAGUGAUAAUAUUCCUACGUUUUAAACUGACGAUUUAUAAAUGUUUGCAAAUAAACUGUUUAUCAAAAAUAGGGAAAAACUAUUUACAAUAGGCUUGUUAUAAACCAUCUUGAUGAACCCUAUAUCAUUAUACUACUUGCAUAUAUUCUACUUGUAUUCUUGGAUCGUGGUUUGCUGGGUACGUUCGUACUCACCCCUUGCAUAAAAUAUGGUUCAGAAGAGCAGGUCUUCGUCAAGGUUACUCGUGUU
RNAcentral lists this long non-coding RNA (353 nucleotides) under Oryza brachyantha (malo sina). Its description in RNAcentral is "long non-coding RNA (OBRA_LNC001693)". The record is from RNAcentral. Lineage: Eukaryota; Viridiplantae; Streptophyta; Magnoliopsida; Poales; Poaceae.